Molecule: ribosomal RNA, 255 nt
Filed under: Triticum aestivum (bread wheat)
Lineage: Eukaryota; Viridiplantae; Streptophyta; Magnoliopsida; Poales; Poaceae
Description: partial small subunit ribosomal RNA
Source: RNAcentral
AUGCAGCUGCGUCUCCGUGCGUGGCAUGCGCAGGUGUUGCCGCUUCUCCGUAGUCGCUAUUUCGAGGGUUAUGUUGAUGGCACACUACCGUGCCCUCCGCCAUAUCAUCCGGCGCAUCAUGCUUGGGUGGCUCAGGAUCAAGCCAUCCUCUCUGCUAUCCAAUCCUCUCUCACGGAGGGAGUCUCGUCACUGGUCAUCUUCGGCGCUAUGUCUCAGGACGCGCGGAUGACCCUUCAUACCAGUUUUGCUUCGUAG